RNAcentral lists this long non-coding RNA (667 nucleotides) under Salvia miltiorrhiza (redroot sage). Its description in RNAcentral is "long non-coding RNA (SMIL_LNC001114)". Lineage: Eukaryota; Viridiplantae; Streptophyta; Magnoliopsida; Lamiales; Lamiaceae. The record is from RNAcentral.
UUAUUUAUUUUAUUCUUAAAUUUAAAAAGUUCUAAUAAUUUAUAUGAAACCGUAGCAAAAAAAGUUACAAUUAUGUUUAUGAAAUUUUAAUUAUAACAUAAUCUUAAUUAAACAUGUUAUGUAUAAAAAAUAAGAAGAUAAAACCGAAAAAACAAAAGAAAACAAAAAAUAUAUAUAUGUCUAAAUGAAAAAAAAAUAAGUAAAGGAUACAACGAAAACAAAAUAGAACAAGUCAAACAAAAAUAGACCAUUUAAGAAAAGGAAGUAAAAUAAGAGAGAUGAGAGAGAAAAUAAUUUAGUUUGAAACAUUAAAUUUUAAUAUCUUUGUUAUCUUAAAUCUAUUUUAUACCUAUUAUAUAUCAAAUCAAACCUAAUCUCAUGAUCUUUAAUUUGAUAUGCAUAUUAAAUAUUUUAUCGUUACUCAAAUUACACGAUUUAAAAAAAAAGGAAAAGUAAAAAAUAAUAAAAGAAAAAAAGAAAAAGAAUUUUAUUUUGAAAGAAAAAACUGCUCUUUGAUCGAAAAAUGUUGUAGAAAUGAGUUAGUUUAGAAAGUAAUUAUAAUUUUAAAUUAUAGCAAAAAAAAAUAACCUUUAAAACUUUACAUAUAUAUACUUAACUUUUAUUAAAAUUCGUAUCGCCCAUUGAAGCAGUGACAAACCAAAAUACC